This 414-nucleotide ribosomal RNA is filed under the name uncultured prokaryote. RNAcentral describes it as "bacterial SSU rRNA". It matches the Rfam family "Bacterial small subunit ribosomal RNA", at positions 355 to 786 of the family's 1533-position model. The record is from RNAcentral.
UGGGGAAUAUUGGACAAUGGGGGCAACCUUGAUCCAGCCAUGCCGCGUGAGUGAAGAAGGCCUUAGGGUUGUAAAGCUCUUUCAGUCGUGACGAUAAUGACAGUACCUGGAGAAUAAGCUCCGGCUAACUCCGUGCCAGCAGCCGCGGUAAUACGGAGGGAGCUAGCGUUGUUCGGAAUUACUGGGCGUAAAGCGCGCGUAGGCGGUUUUUCAAGUCAGGGGUGAAAUCCCGGAGCUCAACUCCGGAACUGCCCUUGAAACUGGAUGACUAGAAUCCUGGAGAGGCGAGUGGAAUUCCGAGUGUAGAGGUGAAAUUCGUAGAUAUUCGGAAGAACACCAGUGGCGAAGGCGACUCGCUGGACAGGUAUUGACGCUGAGGUGCGAAAGCGUGGGGAGCAAACAGGAUUAGAUACC